AGCCUAAAAACAAUAUUUUUUUCUUAAAAAAAUCUGCAUACUUGCAUUAAAAAAACGACUGCAAUUUUUACACCUUUCAAGGGACAUGUUUUAUGCUAGAACUAACAUUUUAGGUUGGAAUCGCUAGUAAAACAAAUCCUAGACAAGUAACGGUAAACAAAAUCAAACGAAUAUACCAACACCGAUCAAUUCAUACCAAAUAAAUAUUCAAAUAAAUACAAAGUUAGUAGAGUAAAUAACAAUCAUAAGAAAUGCGAAGAGAGCAAAGAUUAGAUGAGGCCGAGUUCUUUAGGAAGGGACCAAUCCCUAAUGGCGUAGACUUCGAAGGCGGACAAUCCUAUAGCGGUUGACCUGAUUAGUUGGGUCAAUACGAGUUUUGUUGCGAAACUCCCAACUCCCAUGUUCACAUGUAAAAUAAGAAAGAUAAGGAUUAGAGACCGAAUAAAUAUAAGAAUAUAAAUUAAAGGAAGUAAACACCGCACAAGCAUUGAAAAGCUUAAGUUAAUAUUAAGCAUGUGAACACAUAACCGUAGGGGUCACACUUUAGGCUUAUCGUAUAUAGUGAAAAGAAAAAACUACAUAUACCCAAUUAAGAUCAACGAACUGUGGAAAUAAGAUUGAACUUGACAACCACGCUUAAACUUUACAUUCUCAGGGAGGCUAAAGAGAAGCAAGGCUUCUAACAUGGCCUAAACUUUAAGACUUCCAUUCACAAUUCUUUGAAAGAUCCUUCAAGAACCCAAUCAGCCAACAUUCAAAGAAAAUAUUUUAGUUUAGUGGAGACUUAUGGGACACUAUAAGUAUCAUGAAAAACUCCCACUUUGUAUAGGUUGAAACUACCCCAAACAACCACCCCCGCAACAUUCCAUAUUUGAAAGCAAUUACAUUUUUAAAAAUCAACCAAACCCCAACAUGUUCUGUAGGCCAAAUUUAGGACAGAAUAUAUUUCCAAAAUUAAUAUGAAACAGUAAAACGGCCAAGCCAACGAAACAAAAUACUUAGCAUAUUUACCAAAUAGGAAAGUGCAGGUGGUAGACGGGCAGAUUUAACUUUUUCAGACAUUAAAAUGUGAAACAACCUUAAUAAUGAACCGAGUUCAUAAGCAACGACGUCAACUACGUCAUAACCAAACUCGACCCCGGAAUAUACUACGUUUUGAGCAACAUUUUCGGAACCAAAGCCGUAUUUGCCCAUAUCACAACAACAAAAUCGACUCCAACUCAAACUUUAUGAAAACUUACACACAGGAAUUCAUUUUUUACUAACUAAAAAACUCUAGAUUUUGACCGGAAUCACUUUUCAGAGUCAAAAUCCCCUUUUAAAUCCACAACAGUAACCAAAUGCUAGCAACAAACUCAAGCGAAACAAUAAUUACAUAUUCAUAAAUCUAUCGAAAUGACGAAAAAUGUCGAACGAAAAUAGAAAAUAUUCACACGUUUAUAGACCUGCGUUUUCGCAUUUCGGCCACAGGAUGAUUUCAAAAAAAUUAAUGCUACAUUUCAUCCCCAAGCCGACGAAAACAAUAACAAGCACGGACUCAAUGAAUUUAAACUAGACUACAUGCUUAUCAAACCCUAACGAGAUGAAGGAAAGGAGAGAUGGGAGUGAGACGAGAAAACGUGAUUCGCACCUUUUUUCGGGCGGCAAACUGAAACUUUUCGUCGAGUAUUCCGGUGACUUUGAAACUCAACCCGAACUUCAAAUUUUAAGCGAAUCGAAAGAAGAUCAAGAAAACUUGAGACCCCCGAUAUAAAGAAAAAAAACUGUUUUCUUCCCCCCUUUUUUUCCUUUUCUCACAGAUUUUUCUUCUUUUCCACUGAUCUUGCUACUCUUUUUUUUAUUUGUCUUGCUUCAAAAUUAAGCCUCUAAAAAAACCUCAAAAAAUUUGCGUUUGUUUCCGUUCUCUCCCUUUUUCGACCUUCUCUUUUACUGAUGUCUAUCCAAAUUUCCUUGUUUCCCCCAUAGCAACGAAUGACCCAUAUUUAUAGGCGAAUCCGGACUUGAAAGUCCAGAUUCGAAACUCGAUUUUAACCAAACGUGAUGAAAAAACUUGGUUUGAAAUUGAUUCGAAAUUCUGAACAAAUCUCUUGCUUUUUCAGCUCAUUAAUGGCGAUUUUGACUCCUUUUUCCGUUGUUAUACGAAUUAGGGGACUAUUUUUCUGAUUCUUUGGCGAUUUGCUGGCUUGGGGGAGAUUCUCGUGCAGCUGUAGGCGGCCGCAACAGCUAUGGUUUCUCGUUUGGGUUGGAAGGGAAACGAAGAAGAAGGAAAGAAGAAAAGGGUCUGGUUUUUGAGAAAGCAGAUGGUGACCCUACGCUGAUUUUUGGGGAUAUGAGGGAAGCACGCGUAUCUUUUAUUAAAAAGGAGAAGAAGCCAUGUAUUUGAUGCUCGACGUAAUAUC
This 2399-nucleotide long non-coding RNA is filed under the name Capsicum annuum. RNAcentral describes it as "long non-coding RNA (CANN_LNC015401)". The record is from RNAcentral. Lineage: Eukaryota; Viridiplantae; Streptophyta; Magnoliopsida; Solanales; Solanaceae.